GGUUUCAGAGAGUUUUGGCCUUUUGGAUCACCUCUACACCAACUUCAACAAACCCAAGUUUUCCAAGUUCUGCAUAGUCCUGGCCCAAGGGGCGUCGGAAGCAAAAGACCCACUGUGCAUAUGGUUAUUCC
Long non-coding RNA from Acanthaster planci (crown-of-thorns starfish), 131 nucleotides. NCBI's taxonomy places the organism in Eukaryota, Metazoa, Echinodermata, Asteroidea, Valvatida, Acanthasteridae. The record is from RefSeq and is a predicted model, not a curated record.